This 460-nucleotide ribosomal RNA is filed under the name uncultured bacterium. RNAcentral's name for it is "partial 16S ribosomal RNA". It matches the Rfam family "Bacterial small subunit ribosomal RNA", at positions 338 to 795 of the family's 1533-position model. The record is from RNAcentral.
CCUACGGGUGGCAGCAGUGAGGAAUAUUGGUCAAUGGGCGCGAGCCUGAACCAGCAACGUAGCGUGAAGGAUGACUGCCCUACGGGUUGUAAACUUCUUUUAUAAAGGAAUACAGUGAGGCACGUGUGCCUUUUUGUAUGUACUUUAUGUAUAAGGAUCGGCUAACUCCGUGCCAGCAGCCGCGGUAAUACGGAGGAUCCGAGCGUUAUCCGGAUUUAUUGGGUUUAACGGGAGCGUAGAUGGGUUGUUAAGUCAGAUGUGAAAGUUUGCGGCUCAACCGUAAAAUUGCAAUUGAUACUGGCAGCCUUGAGUACAGUUGAGGUAGGCGGAAUUCGAGGUGUAGCGGUGAAAUGCUUAGAUAUCACGAAGAACUCCGAUUGCGAAGGCAGCCUUCUAAUCUGCCACUGACAUUGAUGCUCGAAAGUGUGGGUAUCAAACAGGAUUAGAUACCCCAGUAGUC